This 485-nucleotide ribosomal RNA is filed under the name uncultured bacterium. Its description in RNAcentral is "bacterial SSU rRNA". It matches the Rfam family "Bacterial small subunit ribosomal RNA", at positions 31 to 507 of the family's 1533-position model. The record is from RNAcentral.
GAACGCUGGCGGCGUGGAUUAGGCAUGCAAGUCGAACGGUAGGAUACCUUCGGGUAUCUGAGAGUGGCGAACGGGUGAGUAACACGUAGGUGAUCUACCCUCAAGAUUGGGACAACCCAGGGAAACUUGGGCUAAUACCGGAUGAAAGCAGCAGUGAUGUUGUUUGAAAGGUGGCGUAAGCUGCCGUUUGGGGAUGAGCCUGCGCUCUAUUAGUUAGUUGGCGGGGUAAAGGCCCACCAAGGCGAUGAUAGAUAGGCGGCCUUAACGGGUGGUCGUCCACACUGGGAUUGAGAUACGGCCCAGACUCCUACGGGAGGCAGCAGUCGAGAAUAGUCUACAAUGGCCGAAAGGCUGAUAGUGCGACGCCGCGUGAACGAAGAAGCCCUUCGGGGUGUAAAGUUCUUUUAUACGUGAGCAGUGCCCUUUAUAUGAAUAGUAUAGAGGGAGGGAUUUAAGCGUAUGAAUAAGCAACGGCUAACUCCGUG